GACGAACGCUGGCGGCAUGCCUAACACAUGCAAGUCUAGGGGUAGCAAUACCACUGGCGCACGGGUGAGUAACACGUAGGUUAUCUGCCCCCAUCACAGACAUAACCCCGGGAAACCGGGGCUAAUAUCUGAUGAGGUCGCGAGAUCAAAGCUUCGGCGGAUGGGGAUGAGCCUGCGGCUGAUUAGCUAGUUGGUGAGGUAAUGGCUCACCAAGGCGACGAUCAGUAGCUGGUCUGAGAGGACGAACAGCCACACUGGAACUGAGACACGGUCCAGACUCCUACGGGAGGCAGCAGUGAGGAAUAUUGGUCAAUGGGAGCAAUCCUGAACCAGCAAUGCCGCGUGUGGGAUGACAGGGCUUCGCCUUGUAAACCACUGUCGGACGGGACGAAAGGAGGCCUCGGGCCCUCUGGGACGGUACCGUCAAAGGAAGGGUCGGCUAACUACGUGCCAGCAGCCGCGGUAAU
This 467-nucleotide ribosomal RNA is filed under the name uncultured bacterium. RNAcentral describes it as "bacterial SSU rRNA". It matches the Rfam family "Bacterial small subunit ribosomal RNA", at positions 28 to 524 of the family's 1533-position model. The record is from RNAcentral.